This 253-nucleotide ribosomal RNA is filed under the name uncultured bacterium. Its description in RNAcentral is "partial 16S ribosomal RNA". It matches the Rfam family "Bacterial small subunit ribosomal RNA", at positions 524 to 776 of the family's 1533-position model. The record is from RNAcentral.
UACGUAGGGCGCAAGCGUUGUCCGGAAUUAUUGGGCGUAAAGAGCUCGUAGGCGGCUUGUCACGUCGGGUGUGAAAGCCCGGGGCUUAACCCCGGGUCUGCAUUCGAUACGGGCUAGCUAGAGUGUGGUAGGGGAGAUCGGAAUUCCUGGUGUAGCGGUGAAAUGCGCAGAUAUCAGGAGGAACACCGGUGGCGAAGGCGGAUCUCUGGGCCAUUACUGACGCUGAGACGCGAAAGCGUGGGGAGCGAACCGG